AAAAUAAUGCAACUAUCCUUUUUAGAACCCAAAAUUAAAGUUAUGGGUUCAAAGAUUUCAGCAAUCUUCUUCAUUUCUAUGAUUUUCAUGUCAACAUGUUUAUCACCAGCUUAUGCAACUUCGGGACGAUGCCCAUGUACUCCUCCUUAUCCACCUUACCAACGCCCUAGUCCACCUGGCACUACUCCACGGCCGCCACAUCCGCCUAAAUCUCCACGUCACCCUCAUCCACCUAAGUCCCCUGGUAGGCCGCCCCACCCUCCGUCAACGCCACGUCCGCAUCCACCAACGACCAAACCACCACCCCACCACGGCGGAGCACCUCCUAGGGUUUUGCCGCCUAUUGUCAGACCACCACCAGUUGUAACACCUCCGGUCACAAGGCCACCUGGCAUUUCACCUCCAGUCACUAGGCCACCUGGCAUUUUACCACCUAUUGUCAAUCCUCCCGUUGUAACACCUCCAGUCACUAGGCCACCUGGCAUUCUUCCACCUAUAAUAAAUCCUCCGGUCACUAGGCCACCUGGCAUUCUGCCACCUAUAAUAAAUCCACCUGGCAUUUUACCACCAAUAACAACUCCUCCCGGAGGAAUCCCACCACCUUCUGCUGGAUAUCCACCUUAUGCACCUCCUGGUGGAGGUGGUGGUGGUGCGCCCGGUCGCGGAGGAGGAGGC
This 675-nucleotide long non-coding RNA is filed under the name Nicotiana tabacum (common tobacco). Its description in RNAcentral is "long non-coding RNA (NTAB_LNC001791)". Lineage: Eukaryota; Viridiplantae; Streptophyta; Magnoliopsida; Solanales; Solanaceae. The record is from RNAcentral.